This 774-nucleotide ribosomal RNA is filed under the name uncultured Neocallimastigales. RNAcentral's name for it is "partial large subunit ribosomal RNA". It matches the Rfam family "Eukaryotic large subunit ribosomal RNA", at positions 22 to 621 of the family's 3401-position model. The record is from RNAcentral. Lineage: Eukaryota; Fungi; Neocallimastigomycota; Neocallimastigomycetes; Neocallimastigales.
UAUCAGUCAUGCAUAGCAUAUCAAUAAGCGGAGGAAAAGAAACUAACAAGGAUUCCCUUAGUAACGGCGAGUGAAGCGGGAAGAGCUCAAAUUUGAAAUCUUCAAGGUUUUACCUUGACGAAUUGUAGUUUAAAGAAGUGUUUUCUGUUGAAGUUUUGGUAAAAGUUCUUUGGAAUAGGACAUCAUAGAGGGUGAGAAUCCCGUAUUUGACCAUUACUUUCAGCUUUGUGAUACACUUUCAAAGAGUCGGAUUGUUUGGGAGUGCAGUCCAAAAUGGGUGGUAAAUUUCAUCUAAAGCUAAAUAUCGGCGAGAGACCGAUAGCGAACAAGUACCGUGAGGGAAAGAUGAAAAGAACUUUGAAAAGAGAGUUAAACAGUACGUGAAAUUGUCAAAAGGGAAGCGUUUGACACCAGUGUUGUUUUCUCGAAAAUCAAUUAAAAAGAGUUGGAUUUUGUGUUGUAUUGACUUUAUCAGGCUUUCUACACUCUUUUCCAGCUUUUUUUAAUGCACUUUUCGUUUAACAAGUCAACAUCAGUUUCUUUUGUUGUAAAAAGGUCAUUGGAAGGUGGCUUUCUCUUCGGAGAAAGUGUUUAUAGCCUUUGACUCAUGCAGUCGGAGAGACUGAGGUCUGCAGCGUAGAUCCUUCGGGGUUAGAUACAUUUGUGCUAAGUUAUAGCUUUUCAUAGACAACUUGUUGACUAUGUUUAGUCUUGUAGCUUACUCGCUUAUGCUAUUUUACCUACGCUUAGGAUGUUGAACUCUAUCACACACAG